AGUGAGCGCUGGCGGUAGGCCUAACACAUGCAAGUCGAACGGCAGCACAGUAAGAGCUUGCUCUUACGGGUGGCGAGUGGCGGACGGGUGAGGAAUACAUCGGAAUCUACUUUUUCGUGGGGGAUAACGUGGGGAAACUUACGCUAAUACCGCAUACGACCUACGGGUGAAAGCAGGGGAUCUUCGGACCUUGCGCGAUUGAAUGAGCCGAUGUCGGAUUAGCUAGUUGGCGGGGUAAAGGCCCACCAAGGCGACGAUCCGUAGCUGGUCUGAGAGGAUGAUCAGCCACACUGGAACUGAGACACGGUCCAGACUCCUACGGGAGGCAGCAGUGGGGAAUACUGGACAAUGGGCGCAAGCCUGAUCCAGCCAUACCGCGUGGGUGAAGAAGGCCUUCGGGUUGUAAAGCCCUUUUGUUGGGAAAGAAAAGCAGCAGGUUAAUACCCCGCUGUUCUGACGGUACCCAAAGAAUAAGCACCGGCUAACUUCGUG
Molecule: ribosomal RNA, 492 nt
Filed under: uncultured bacterium
Lineage: Bacteria
Description: partial 16S ribosomal RNA
Rfam family: Bacterial small subunit ribosomal RNA
Source: RNAcentral